GGCACUUUCCUGACGGAGGACUCGGCUCCUGGGAGCUCCGGCAACAUCAGCGACAGUGGAGCCCGGUCUCAAAAGACCGACCCGGCGGCCUGAGAAGAAGGAAGGAGGCCGAGGCGCCGCAGGGACCCUGGCACCUGCCCCUGACGCAGGAGUGGACGCGAAGGGCCUGAGUAUCACAAAAAGUCCCCAACUCCCAACUUCAGAAGAGGAGGUUAAGUGCUGAUGAAGAGUGAGAUAUUAUCUUUGAGAAACAAGAAAAUCCGUGCUAAGAAGAUGAAGGAAAAAAAGGCGAGUGAAUAUCGUGAUGGGUGCAGUUAUGCUGAAUAAUUGGAUGGGAGGACGUGCCAGGCGAUCUCCAGCCCCUGGGAGCCGGACGCCCACGCCUCCCUCUGCCUCGUUCUCACAGACACAUUUGUGGGGUGAUUAACUCAGGAAUUCAUGCUGCUCAAAGUAACUACAGUGGGAAUCAGGAUGACCCUCAAAAAUAAAGAAAGGAAGAAUUGCCAUUCGUUGGCUUUGAAAAGAGGAAGAAAGUUAUGUGCACCGUCCACCGAGGAAUGAAUGACACCCCGAUUCUGAGCAUCAAGGAAGCAGAAAUGGGAAAUAAAAUUGAUGCUGUACGUGAAUUUUUUCCAGACAAGCUUGUCCCAGAACCAGGUGCUCACCCAGUCCCUUGGAGGAUGGCGGGCUUUAGUGACCGUGGCU
Molecule: long non-coding RNA, 705 nt
Filed under: Homo sapiens (human)
Lineage: Eukaryota; Metazoa; Chordata; Mammalia; Primates; Hominidae
Description: HSALNT0253632
Source: RNAcentral